AUGGAGGGUCAGGGAGAGAAUGUGUGUGAUAUUCUGGGGAAGAAACUAGUGAGUGUAGAGGGGUCGAGGGGGGUGACAGAUGCUGCGGCGGGGAUGGGUUCCCCGUCGGCCACUGCCCAAGCUGGUUCAUCUCUCCACCUCGCAAUGCAUAACCAGUUGGGGACGAAGAUGUCGGGGAGCCGUCCUCUGGUCCUUGACAUGGAGGCUGCCCGCAAGGCCAUCAGUGGUUUCCUCGUGGUUGGACGCCUCCUCUCCCCCUUCCAGGGCAACCCAAGGGUCAUCCUCGACGAUCUCCGGAACAUGGUUUGGAAGAACCAAGGGGCGACCAUCCUCCAAGAGGUGGCCAGCGACGACGGGAGGUUCAUCCUCAACUUUGCCGCUGAGAAUGACCGUCGGUUUGUGCUUAAGGAACAACCAUGGCAUUUCAAGCGGGAUGGGCUUGUCUUCGCCGAGUUCGACGGCAAGGGUGACCCGACAAAGGUAGACCUUGGCGUCAUGACCAUAUGGGUCCAGGUACGAGAUCUUCCGUUCAUGCUUAAGACGAAGAGUAUAGGGUGGUCUCUCGAGGAUCAAUUGGGAGAGGUGCUGGAGGUAUCACACCGUAAUCAUGUAAUCGUUGAAAAAUAUUUGCGUGUGCGCGUGAAGCUUUUAUUGCAUGAACCUCUGAAGACUUCUGUAGGGUUUACCCCUUUAGGUAGUUCAAAGAUACUUAAAUUUGAUGUAAAGUAUGAGAAGCUACCUUUGUACUGUGAGUUUUGUGGGAUUGUGGGUCAUACUUCUGAAAGAUUUUGUAAAAUCCCAAGUGAGAAAAGAGUAGCUUGCUUCCCUAGAAAUCUUAGUGUUGAGCCCUACUAG
Molecule: ribosomal RNA, 855 nt
Filed under: Triticum aestivum (bread wheat)
Lineage: Eukaryota; Viridiplantae; Streptophyta; Magnoliopsida; Poales; Poaceae
Description: partial small subunit ribosomal RNA
Source: RNAcentral